Molecule: unclassified non-coding RNA, 1755 nt
Filed under: uncultured fungus
Lineage: Eukaryota; Fungi
Description: sequence contains 18S rRNA gene, ITS1, 5.8S rRNA gene, ITS2, 28S rRNA gene
Rfam family: Eukaryotic large subunit ribosomal RNA (bases 673-1755)
Source: RNAcentral
UGAAGGAUCAUCAACAACUCUUUUUAGCCAGCAACUGCUUGACGCAGUUGGACAGCUGGGGAGGAAACAUGGGCGCCCGGGGAGGGUCACGAGAGUGGCAGAACCGGGAUGCACACAUUUAGACGGGAGAGUGAUUGUAUUCUAAUUUAAUGCAUUGUAAUGGUGAGAUGGAUGCAUGUUUGUAUUUGCAUGGAAACAUACUACAUACACAUAUGUAUACCCAUCCCCAGGACAUUGAAUAAACAUGACCAUAAACUAAACAUACUUUGAACAAUGGAUCUCUGGGCUCCUGCAUCGAUGAAGAACGUGGUGAAAUGCGAAAAGCGAUGCGAACAGCAAGCACUGCGAGACAUGAGGUCUUUGAACGCAAAUGGCACCGUAGGACGACUGCGGUAUGUGCGACUGAAAACGACAAAGCAACUCGCCACUAGUAAGUGGAGGACAUGGGGUGGAGAGACAAUGCUUUUGUGUCACCAGCCUUGAAAUACUUGAUGGCGACUGGUGCGAAAUUGGAGCCAACCGGGUGAUAUGAUGCGAGUCACAAUCCCAGCAGUUCCAAGUGGGCAUCAGGCAAGUCAAUAGAAAUGCAUGGCGACAGCUUGACUGACGUGGAGGGGAGCAGGACUAGCAAUCCCAGCUGUCCAACUGCGUCAAGCAGUUGCUGGCUAAAAAACGUUUCAGAUUGGGCAAGAUUACCCGCCGAACUUAAGCAUAUCAGUAAGCGGAGGAAAAGAAACUAACAAGGAUUCCCCCAGUAGCGGCGAGCGAACAGGGACGAGCCCAGGUUUGGAAUCGAACAAUGCAAAAGUUGGACGAAUUGUAGUCUGGACAGCGGCGACGAGCGUGCGGGGCGGGCAUUGAGCGUUCUGGAAGGGACGGCCGAAGAGGGUGAGAGCCCCGUGGAAUGCUUGGCUGGGCACGUGGAGCGCGGGCUGGAAGAGUCGGGUUGCUUGGGAAUGCAGUCCAAAGGGGGUGGUAAACUCCAUCCAAGGCUAAAUACGGGCAGGAGACCGAUAGCGAACAAGUACCGUGAGGGAAAGAUGAAAAGCACCCUGGAAAGGGAGUGAAAAGUGCGUGAAAUUGUUGAAAGGGAAACGCUUCUCUCUUUUGACGGCAAUCUUUAGCCGGCAACUGCUACGCAGUUGAGACCGGGUGGGUGACAAAAUCACUGACCCAGCUGUCCAACUGCGUCAAGCAGUUGCCGGGAACGGAGGUUGUUGGAGCUCGGGACCGCUUUCGCUGGGCUCACAGGGUGUCGGUUGGUGAUUGAGUAGCAAUGCUCAAGGACCACGGACGACGGGAGCAAGGGGAGAGGUGGUAGACAGGGACGGUGGGUGUUGGGAGGUGGCUUCUUCGAGUGCAGACUGCAAGCAGACUGGGCAAGAUAAAAGUGACCAGCAACAACGCUCACGACCCACAAAGUGUCGGCCCCGAGAAGGAGCGAAACGACCCGUCUUGAAACACGGACCAAGGAGUCUAACGGAGAUGCGAGUGUUAGGGUGGCAAACCCGAACGCGGAAAGAAAGUGAGGCGCGGGAGCACGUCAAAGUGUGCACCGCGGGCCCAGUACCAUCAUCGGUACCAGGAGCUGCAGCAUCGACGUUGGGACCCGAAAGACGGUGAACUAUGCCUGGACAGGAUGAAGCCAGAGGAAACUCUGGUGGAGGUCCGCCGCCGUUCUGACGUGCAAAUCGAUGGCUGGAUCUGGGCAUAGGGGCGAAAGACUAAUCGAACCGUCUGGUAGCUGGUUCCCUC